This 704-nucleotide ribosomal RNA is filed under the name Didymosphenia geminata (rock snot). Its description in RNAcentral is "eukaryotic LSU rRNA". The stretch from base 346 to 500 matches the Rfam family "5.8S ribosomal RNA". The record is from RNAcentral. Lineage: Eukaryota; Bacillariophyta; Bacillariophyceae; Cymbellales; Cymbellaceae.
AGCUAAUGCCUUUACUGGUGUUNGUUUCAAGAACUUNUCUAAACCUUAUUAUUUAGAGGAAGGUGAAGUCGUAACAAGGUUUCCGUAGGUGAACCUGCGGAAGNAUCAUUACCACACAAUAAUCCAAACCGCGCUUACAUUAAACCCAUAGGCUCUGGCCCUGCUAACUAGUGGUAAACCCCUCUGUAACCCAUCGAGUCUCUCUGGUGUUUACGACCUUAUAAGAUCUCAUUAUGUGCCACUGCCGUGAUGAUGCAACCUGGAGGCCAACGAGUACGAUCCACCAAUUUAAAUUCAAUCGACAGCUUGACGAGAGUCAAGUUUAAAAGUAUAACAUUCCAAUACAACUUUCAGCAAUGGAUGUCUUGGUUCCCAACACAAUGAAGAACACAGCGAAAUGUGAUACGUAAUACGAAUUGCAAGACUUUGUGAAUCAUUGAAUUUUUGAACGCAUAUUGCGCNGCCAGAUUCUUUCUGGGAGCAUACACGACAGAGUAUCAUCAAACCCCAAUCUAUAACAUUAUUUGUUAUGGGCAAGUGAAGUUGGCUUUAAACAAAGCACUCCUUCUAAGUUAUUUAGUGCAGAGGCAUUUUCACAUUGUAGGAAACUCAGUGUAUUUGUUUCAACGUGCUAUUGGUCAAAAUUCACUUUUUGACUGUCUUCUUAACUGAUCUCUGACUGUGUAGGACUACCCGCUGAAUUU